Rhinopithecus roxellana (golden snub-nosed monkey) is the source of this 2350-nucleotide RNA transcript. RefSeq lists it as uncharacterized. The transcript is spliced from 5 exons. The record is from RefSeq and is a predicted model, not a curated record. NCBI's taxonomy places the organism in Eukaryota, Metazoa, Chordata, Mammalia, Primates, Cercopithecidae.
CAGCCUGGGCGACAGAGCGAAAAGAAAAGGAAGAGACAAAACUAUCAUUAUUUGCAUAUGAAAAUGAUAAAUGUUAGACAGUCAAAGAAGCCUAAGAGAAUCAGCUAAGAUUUUAGUGGAAGCAAUAUGAGGAUUCAGUACGGUGGCUAGAAACAAAAUCAAGAGAGCAGCACACAAAAGUCAAAUACUUGUCAGAUGUACCACCAAUAACUAAUUAGAAAAUGGAAGUAAGUCCCAUUUACAAUGGCAAUACAAAUGUAUGAAGUAUUUAGGAAGAAAAAUACAAAGAUCUGUUAUGUAACAAAAGACGUGUAAGAUCUGUAUGAUGGAAACCCUAAAACUCUUCUGAAAGACAUUAACAAGAAAUGAAUAAAUGACAUGAAAUACCACGUUCCCAGAAUGUUGUACAGAUGUCAAUUCUCAAAUUAAUCUACAAAUUUAAGGUAAUCCUAUUCAAAUCCCAAGAUAGUUUUUGGUGGUAGCUAUUUUUAAGACAGGGUCUCGCUCUGUUGUCCAGGCUAGAGUGCGGUGGUAUGACCACAGCUCACUUCAUCCUCAACCUCCCAGGCUCAAACAAUCCUCCCACUUCAGCCUCUGAAGUCUCUCAUAUGGUGUCCAAGAAAUGGGGACAAAUCUCACAAAGGGACUAGGCUCAGGAGGGCUGGAAUAUUCAGGGAAGGUGUUUUUUUUGUUUUGUUUUGUUUUUGUUUUUGGAGGCAGAGUCUCGCUUUGUCACCAAAGCUCGAGUGCAGUGGCCCGAUCUUGGCUCACUGCAUGCUCUGCCUCCCAGGUUCACGCCAUUCUCCUGCCUCAGCCUCACGAGUAGCUGGGACUACAUGCGCCUGCCACCACGCACAGCUAAUUUUUUGUAUUUUUAGUAGAGACAGGGUUUCACUGUGUUAGCCAGGAUGGUCUCGAUCUCCUGACCUCAUGAUCCGCCGCCUCAGCCUCUGAAAGUGCUGGGAUUACAAGCGUGAGCCACCGCGCCUGGCCUAUUCAGGGAAGGUUUCAAGCAGAAAGAUGAACUUGAGUUGGCUUUGGAGAGAUUCAUGGGACUCCCACAGGCAGAGUGAAAUAAGGGCAUUUUAGAUGGACAAAUGCACAGACAAGAGCAGAAAUGCGGAUGGUGUGACUGGGGUAUGGUGAGGGGCUGAUCUGGCUGGAAUGGAGGGCUGCCACAAUAAUGGAAAUGGUAAAUGAGGCAAAUAAGGUUGGAUUGGGAGCAUGGCGUCAAGGUUGCCAGCUUAUUAAAUCACUCUUCCAAUAUGCUAGCAGUGGCCUCUUGGGAAAAGUAAUACAUCAUGUAAUCGAACAAAAGGCAAACAGAGGCAAGCUCCAGGAAUGGGCACUGUGAACAGGACUCGCCCCAGAGUAGCCAGAUGUAGGCUUUAGACAUGUUAAUGCAGGUUGAGCAUCUCUGAGCCGAGGGGGAAUGUCUCACAUGGUGUCCAAGAAAUGGUGACACAUCUCACAGAGGGCCGAGGCUCAGGAGGGCUGGAGUAUGAGACAUUCCCCCUCCCCUGUGAACUUAAAAAUGUGGCCAACAAUUUUUUUUUUAAAUGGCUACUCUGUAGUGCUUUAACUGGACCUAUUUAGACAAUGCCUUACACACUGGAAAAGGAUGAUACUGUGUGAAUCUAAUAAGUCUACAAGACAAUAGUUCUCUCUAUUGGCUGUCUCCUUCCUCUCCAGGGUGAUGACAACUUCGUGAGGGUGAUUAUACGUCUCUCAUCAUUUCAGCAACAAGGAAAUAAAUUAGUGGCAGAGUAAGGGGUGACUUGUGAACAAGAAAAAGAAAAGAAAUAGGAAGAAAUAAAAGAAAAUCAGCCUUUACAUUAACCCAAGAAUCAUCACUUUUGCAGAAAUUAUAAAAAUAAUAAUAAUUACAACCAACUGAAUCAGUAACCACGAGGGCGGAGUCCGGAACUGAGUUCUAACGCGCCCUCUCAGUGAUUGUGAUGCAGAUCUAUCUACAGCACUGCUGCAGUAACACGGUUCCCCACGAUGGCUCCUCAGCUGGGCAUUCAAAGCCCUAGAAGAUCUGGUUCCAAUGUCCUACUCUCCCUCCUUGUACUCUACAGAGCUAUCAGCUUCCCAGUUUGCGCAAUUCAUCAAGAAACAAUGUGGGGCCACUGGCACAAAUCAUGAGGCAUCUCCCGGAAGCUUAACUUCCUAUCCAUCCCAUCUCUUGGACAGACGAUGCCAGUUAAUUACUUUGAAUGUCCAGCCUCUUCCAGUGACUCUGGAGGCAGAGGUGGGCCCCCGUGCUGAGUGGCGGGAGGUUCUGCAUCAUUACCUGGCCCUGAGAGCUGAGCUGUAGCCUCCUGGAGGACUGGAGAAGUUCCCACCU